GUGGCUGUGGCUCAGUGGUAGAGUGCUUGCCUAGUAGGCAUUAGGCACUGAGUUCGAUCCUCAGCACCACA
Molecule: non-coding RNA, 71 nt
Organism: Ictidomys tridecemlineatus (thirteen-lined ground squirrel)
Lineage: Eukaryota; Metazoa; Chordata; Mammalia; Rodentia; Sciuridae
Source: Rfam